Molecule: long non-coding RNA, 361 nt
Filed under: Homo sapiens (human)
Lineage: Eukaryota; Metazoa; Chordata; Mammalia; Primates; Hominidae
Description: non-protein coding LINC00251:1
Source: RNAcentral
AAGUGAUACAAACCCUUAAUAUGGUAGCUCCCAAACUUGCUCCAUUAUAAAUAUCACCAAAGGAGUUUUUGAAAAACAGAGAUGCUGAUGUUCUACUUCAAACCUCCUUAAUCAGAUAUGGGAGGCUCUGCAACAGCAUAUUCUACAAAGAAAAAGAUAAAUGAACAGAAUUCACUCUAAGAUUCACCAUGGAUGUUUACUAGUCAACUUGAUGUCCCAAACCAUCUGCCUAUCUAACACAGCUGAUCUUAAGUUCAUGCUUCACAGCUAUUGGAUGCCCCUUAACCAAGGACUUAGGGCUCAAAUAUUUGAAGAACACUGGAGUCAGGAGACCAGGAUUUCAGAUCUGACUGACACUAAC